Molecule: ribosomal RNA, 548 nt
Filed under: uncultured Glomeromycotina
Lineage: Eukaryota; Fungi; Glomeromycota
Description: SSU rRNA
Rfam family: Eukaryotic small subunit ribosomal RNA
Source: RNAcentral
UUGGAGGGCAAGUCUGGUGCCAGCAGCCGCGGUAAUUCCAGCUCCAAUAGCGUAUAUUAAAGUUGUUGCAGUUAAAAAGCUCGUAGUUGAAUUUCGGGGUCAGUAGAUUGGUCGUGCCACUGGUAUGUACUGGUCUUACUGGCUCCUCCUUCCUGAUGAACCGUAAUGCCAUUAAUUUGGUGUUGCGGGGAAACUGGACUGUUACUUUGAAAAAAUUAGAGUGUUUAAAGCAGGCUAACGCUUGAAUACAUUAGCAUGGAAUAAUGAAAUAGGACGAUCGAUCCUAUUUUGUUGGUUUCUAGGAUUGACGUAAUGAUUAAUAGGGAUAGUUGGGGGCAUUAGUAUUCAAUUGUCAGAGGUGAAAUUCUUGGGUUUAUUGAAGACUAACUACUGCGAAAGCAUUUGCCAAGGAUGUUUUCAUUAAUCAAGAACGAAAGUUAGGGGAUCGAAGACGAUCAGAUACCGUCGUAGUCUUAACCAUAAACUAUGCCGACUAGGGAUCGGAUGAUGUUAAUUUUUUAAUGACUCAUUCGGCGCCUUACGGGAAA